This 213-nucleotide ribosomal RNA is filed under the name Ptereleotris heteroptera (blacktail goby). RNAcentral describes it as "partial 16S ribosomal RNA". The record is from RNAcentral. Lineage: Eukaryota; Metazoa; Chordata; Actinopteri; Gobiiformes; Gobiidae.
GCCCCAAUAGCUAGUCCACCCUUCAAAUUCAAACAAACAACAUUAAUAGCCCCACAAGCCCCACCAACUAUAUGGCUAAACCAUUCUCCCGCCCCAGUAUAGGAGAUAGAAAAGGAAAUUAGGCACUACAGAAGAAGUACCGCAAGGGAAAGCUGAAAGAGAGAUGAAACAGUCCAGUAAAGGUAACAGAAGCAGAGCUAACACCUCGUACUU